UACUACUGAUUGGUGCAAUUCAUUUCCUUGCAGAUCGGACGAUGGUGGAUGCUUGCCUUACAGAAGGUGCUCACUACCAGGACCUUGUUCAGGUGCAUAACUCAUAAGUGUUGCAGAUUUGAAAGACAAUCGGCACGCAAGACAAGGCAAAGACUGUUAUCUCAUGCGUGUUUGAUGCCAAUGCUGGAAUUACUUGAAAUGAUAAAUUUGUCUAUGCUCGCGUUAAAUGCUCACAAAGUGUUGGCUCUGAAUUGUGCUUGGUUAAAUAAAACAAUUUUUUGGUUGCAAGUAUCAUAAUGAAUAGACCUUUGUGCUUGUAUUUCCACAAUGUAUGUAUGAGUGUUGAAAUGUGUGUCGCAGCCUGUGUUUCAGGAUAAAUUGUGUCACAGGCCUGUAAACUGGAAGCCCAGGUCCGUUAUAAUGGAUCUGGACUAUCCAUUUUUUUAA
Papaver somniferum (opium poppy) is the source of this 447-nucleotide long non-coding RNA. RefSeq lists it as uncharacterized. The record is from RefSeq and is a predicted model, not a curated record. NCBI's taxonomy places the organism in Eukaryota, Viridiplantae, Streptophyta, Magnoliopsida, Ranunculales, Papaveraceae. The transcript has 3 exons.